Molecule: long non-coding RNA, 1239 nt
Organism: Notolabrus celidotus (New Zealand spotty)
Lineage: Eukaryota; Metazoa; Chordata; Actinopteri; Labriformes; Labridae
Exons: 2
Source: RefSeq, a predicted model, not a curated record
GUGAAGGAGGCAGCCUGAAGUCUGGUCCGAGUGGACUUCCUUUAGUUCUGUAGAGUUUUGUGUUCAAACUUUAAGAAGGUGUGUUUGUAAAUAACAGAACUUUAACCGGAAGUGUUAAUAAACUGUGAUAUUGAACUGGCUGCUCGAUAAACCAGCGCGAGAGGGAUUUAAAACCAUGGAUGGACUGCAGCUGCUGCUAACCCAGCUCGACCCAGUACCCUCGUUUGGACUGUUUUGGACCUGGAACCUGGGAAUGCUCACAGUUCCUCUGGCAAUGUUGGACUACCUCUGGACCUGGUGAUUCUGUACCCUCACUUUCAUCUUGUAAGGGAGACCUGUGGACUGGAGAACUUCUCUGUGGACCUCGCAUCUCUAAAGCUCCAACAACUCCUCAUUAAAGUGACAUCACUCCAGGACAUCACACACAUGUAGCUGAACACCUGCUAACAGACUCUGAUGUGUGAAAUAAUGAAGUUCCCCAAAAAGACUGACACAGAGGAGUAAGUGUACAGAUAGUGGACGAGAGGAAUCAUGAAAUACAACAUGCCAUCACAGAUUAACUCUUUCAACUUCAACAUUUAGGCCAAGCAAGGCCCUUCAGUCACCAGCAGCCCACUCCUGUAACAUCUGGGCUGCUGUGCACCCACUACCAGAGCCUGCAGGGAACAGGAGCGAUGACAACACCAGAUCGUAGCUGGUGGCUUCAUACAAAAUUAGAAUCCCCUGUCAGAAAACAUCAGAUCUCGUUCCAGAGUAAUUUAAGGGGCCAUUUAAAUGUUCUGGCUGUCUUUAAGGCAUUUCUGCUUCAUUAGAUACUUUACUGAAGAGCACUGCAGCAGAGAGAGAGGAAACAAAAGAGAGAUGACAGGACACAAAGGUCUUGACGUGCGCACUGGAAGCUUCAUCGCACGACAAAUGACUGUUGUUUGAAACUCUACAAGAAGAUAUUUUUAGGCCAGAACCAAUAUGCAAACUUUUAUUUCCCUUUUGUCCUUGCAGCAUGCUCGUGUCAGCCUGAAAGCAGGUUGAUUAUAUUUCCAUCCUGUGUGUACUCGAUCCUCCCUCACCGCAGCUCCGCUCUGUGUUCUUCCAGUACAAGCAUAAUAGUUUGUUUUUUCCAUAAUUCAUGACUUGCUUGAAUUGUAUUGAGGUUUUCAUGAACUCAGAUACUUGAAUGAAGCAGCUGUUAAAUUUUUAAGCCCAGGGCUCACACUGAAUAAAAUCAUUCUCGCUCUGUCA